UGCAGGGAAUCUAGAGCCAAAACUAAGA
Molecule: non-coding RNA, 28 nt
Filed under: Mus musculus (house mouse)
Lineage: Eukaryota; Metazoa; Chordata; Mammalia; Rodentia; Muridae
Source: RNAcentral